RNAcentral lists this ribosomal RNA (387 nucleotides) under uncultured bacterium. Its description in RNAcentral is "bacterial SSU rRNA". It matches the Rfam family "Bacterial small subunit ribosomal RNA", at positions 29 to 408 of the family's 1533-position model. The record is from RNAcentral.
AAUGAACGCUGGCGGCGCGCCUAAUACAUGCAAUCGAGCGAGAAGACGUAGCAAUACGUUUGUAAAGCGGCGAACGGGUGAGGAAUACAUGGGUAACCUACCCUAGAGUGGGGAAUAACUAGCCGAAAGGUUAGCUAAUACCGCGUACGCUCCUUGGACUUCGGUUCAGGGAGGAAAGCGAUGCCGAGGGUAUCGCGCUCUUGGAUGGGCUCAUGUCCUAUCAGCUGUUGGUGAGGUAACGGCUCACCAAGGCUUCGACGGGUAGCUGGUCUGAGAGGACGAUCAGCCACACUGGCACUGCGACACGGGCCAGACUCCUACGGGAGGCAGCAGUAAGGAAUAUUGCGCAAUGGGCGAAAGCCUGACGCAGCGACGCCGCGUGGGGGA